UGCUUGUCUCAAAGAUUAAGCCAUGCAUGUCUAAGCAGAGCCCUUGAAUGGUAAAGCCGCGAAUGGCUCAUUACAACAGCCACAGUUUAUUGGGUCUCCAUUUACUGGAUAACUGAGCUAAUUGUUGAGCUAAUACACGCACCAAAGCUUCGACCUCACGGGAGGAGCGCAUUUAUUAGAACAAAACCAAUCGGACUUCGGUCCGUCCAUUGGUGAAUCUAAAUAACUUAGCCGAUCGCAUGGUCUCGCACCGGCGACUCACCUUUCAAAUGUCUGCCUUAUCACCUUUCGAUGGUAGUUUAUACGCCUACCAUGGGUUUUACGGGUAACGGAGAAUAAGGGUUCGACUCCGGAGAGGGAGCCUGAGAAACGGCUACCACAUCCRAGGAAGGCAGCAGGCA
Molecule: ribosomal RNA, 401 nt
Filed under: Nematoda environmental sample
Lineage: Eukaryota; Metazoa; Nematoda
Description: SSU rRNA
Rfam family: Eukaryotic small subunit ribosomal RNA
Source: RNAcentral